UCGAGAAUCUUCGGCAAUGGGCGCAAGCCUGACCGAGCGACGCCGCGUGGAGGAUGAAGGCCUUCGGGUUGUAAACUCCUGUCGAGGGGGAACUGAUCCCUGGAGGAAGCACGGGCUAAGUUCGUGCCAGCAGCCGCGGUAAGACGAACCGUGCAAACGUUAUUCGGAAUCACUGGGCUUAAAGCGCGUGUAGGCGGUCCGGCACGUCUGGUGUGAAAUCCCCGGCUCAACCGGGGAAUGGGCACGGAUACGGCCGAACUGGAGGGGGGCAGGGGAUCCGGGAACUUCCGGUGGAGCGGUGAAAUGCGUUGAGAUCGGAAGGAACGCCCGUGGCGAAAGCGCGGAUCUGGACCUCGCCUGACGCUGAGACGCGAAAGCUAGGGGAGCAAACGGGAUUAGAUACCCCAGUAGU
Molecule: ribosomal RNA, 412 nt
Filed under: uncultured bacterium
Lineage: Bacteria
Description: bacterial SSU rRNA
Rfam family: Bacterial small subunit ribosomal RNA
Source: RNAcentral